GGCGGUGUAGCUCAGCUGGCUAGAGCGUACGGUUCAUACCCGUAAGGUCGGGGGUUCGAUCCCCUCCGCCGCCA
Transfer RNA from Bhargavaea cecembensis DSE10, 74 nucleotides. It matches the Rfam family "tRNA". From Rfam's summary of the family: Transfer RNA (tRNA) molecules are approximately 80 nucleotides in length. NCBI's taxonomy places the organism in Bacteria, Bacillati, Bacillota, Bacilli, Caryophanales, Caryophanaceae. The record is from Rfam.